CGCUAUAUUCGUGUUUAUUAUGGUAACCAGUCUUCCUUCGUGUUGGCCUUCCUUGCUUAAAAUCUCUUUUUCUAUUAACCGUUCUACAUCUUGGGCAUUUUGAAUGAGAUAGUUCAUUAGUUCUACGUAAGCACAAACGUAGGCUUCAUCUGGACAAUGGCACAUCUCGAACGCCAUGACGUUCCGAAGGUAAGCUUCAGUGUUGGAGUGCACUGUCAAUUUGGGGGUUUUAAGCUUUUUGCCUUCAAAUUUAACAUCAAGCAAACAUGCAGUUUGGUUGGGUUCAACUAUAAGCUCAACACCAACUUCUUGCAAACUUGUGGCACCGUACACUUUUUUCAACGUUGGGAUCUUGGUCUUUGAUGAUGGAUUUUAUGUUUUGGUCAUAUGGCAUCUUUGCAAAGCGGUGAAGUGUGGGAUUUGUAUAUGCUCGAACUGCGGGUCCCAUGGAAUGUCAAAGUAGGAACAAGCUAGUUUAAGGAAAGAAGGAACAGAGGCAUCUGAUGCUAGUUUGUGGUUUUCAUAUGGUUUAUACAGUUCUUCAAGCACGAACAUUGGGAUCUGGUUUUCAAGUAAGAUCAAAUCCCUCCGUAGACCAGCGGACCAUGUUUCUUUCAACAACAAGUCUUUGAUGUCCGAAUUUUUUUCCACUUCCUUCUCAUAGUUCCUCAAGAAGAGCUCCAUGAUAAACAGUGCAUCAUAAAAUAUCAUCUUUACGAACUCGUCUUCAUCGAUUAAAGCCUGUAACAGUUGAGAAUAUUUUUAUCGUAGCGUUCAAUGAAACUCCAAAAACUUUCCAAUGCCUUCUUGGAAACGGAAGUCCUUUGAAGAAAUUUAACUUGAUAAUCCACUUUAUACUUGGCCAUGCUAGCCAAACUUGUUUUCCGAUAAUGAAGAGGGCCAAUUGAAAUUAAUAGAGGAGUGUAAGCUUUUGGAUUUGCUUGACGAAUGUUCCUAGGGACCUCGUAGAUAAACCCUUGGUCCGGCCCCCGCUCCAAAUCCUCCACUUCCGAAUCAUUGGAUGCUUCAUCUUUCUUUGUCUCAAAUGAUGGGGCGUUAAUUGAGCCUAAUUGUCCCUUCCUUGGAGCCAUUUCUUGCACCUACUUUUUCAUGUAUCUAGCAUACAUAUCAAGUUAGCAAUAAACUUUAUUUAUAUAUUGAAUGAAAAAUGAUUUUAGUAUCGUUAUGUGGCAUGCAACAUUACAGUGCUUUGAAAUCAGUAUGUACCGACCAGACCAGUACUAGUAUGGUACUGACUACUGUAGAUCAUACACAUAGAGACUUAAAACUUACAGGGAAUCCGAUAACCUUUGGCUUCCAAUACUAGAAUUGGCUGCUGACGCCUGGAUUUGAAAACGGAGAGAAAUGGAAGGGAAACGUUGAAGAACUAGUUACUAGAUAAUAAGUGAAUCCUUGAAGUCGAUCAGAGUGGCUAAGGGCAUUUAUAUAGAUGCAAAUUUGGAUCAGGUUGGUUGAAUUUGAUCCAAAGUCUAAACAUCAAAAAAAAUAUUAGAAAAGGUGGCAUUGGUGGGUGUUUAUAAAUUGAAUCUUAAAAUGUAUUUAGUUAGCUGUUAAUGUCUCCUAUAUUUAAUAUAUUAAAGGGUUAAUGUAUUUUUCCCUUUCUGAUUUUAAAAAUAACGUUUACUUUCGUAUGUCAAUUUUGUAUAAUAACGUUUACAUGGGGUCUACUGUGUAAGUCUAUAACUCGAUUAUGUCAGCAUAGAGAGUGUGUUAGGAUAGAAAACAUGGUGCAACCUAUCAGGUUAGAAGACUUGGAAAAAUCUAUUGAGACAUUUAACUUGGGGUAAAAGAGUGAAGAACUGUAGCUUGGUUGUGACAUCAUGAAGACUCAGCCGAUAUGGUGAAAAUGGGACUUCACAAGGUGAAAAAUCUUAGCUUGGUGAUGGAGUUUGGCGAAGAACGCCAAAUGGAAUGGAACCUAAGGCUUUUUCAAUUAGAGGAUGUACCAAAUGAAGGAGUGAAACUUCAGGGUCCAUGGGUAAGGGCUAAGUCACUAGGAAUGACAAGGAACUCGCUUAAGGUUUAUCUGGGGUAAAUAGUUUGCUAGGAAAAAGGGAAGAUCGGAAUUUUAAACCCAAUAAGCCAAUGUUAGUUAGUUAAUGGCUGACAUGGGAAUCUCUCAUCCAAGGUGGCGAAAGGGGGAAACAAAGAAUCUUGGAUGAGGUGUGUUCAAUUCUGUAUUCCUCGUGAACCCCUACCUUGGAUAGAAUUUGUGUAUGCUACAAAUUAUGAAGGAGUUGGUCAGCGGUGCGCUUUAGGAAAAAAGCGAAGAGAAAGACACAUUGAAAUAAUCUGCUAAUGGCCAAUGGUGACCAGAGAGUGGAAAAAUAUCCUUUUAGGGUUUAUUUAUUAAAUUUCAAUUUAGCUAUAUGUCGACUUGCAAAAGAUCACUAAGUUCUAUCGAACUAACCAACGGUAUGCUUAAUUGCAGGAAUAAGCUUUCACUUGGAAAUUGCGCGGGGGGCUAAGCCAGACUUUGCCAACUUGAAGGAAAAAGGGAGGGAUAGUCAUAACAUGCAUAUAGAGGGGCGCUCUUAGAGGUUAUACCUUGGGGUUUUAGUCAAGUUCUAAAAUUUUCAAGUUUUAAAGUCAAAGUUUUAAAUGAAGUUGUGAACUAGCUAUUUUAAAAGAUGUAUAUGCUAGUAUUGACUAUUGUGUAUUGUUAAUUAGUUGAGAAUAAAAUUCAAAUGUGUUAGCUAGAUAUUUAGGAUUUGAAUCAUCCGAAACUCGGAUUUGGAGAGCAAGUCGGGUACGGGUGUUACAAAUAUUUACCGAGCUAAUAUAAAAAUAUAUUGAAGAAUGGUCGAAUAAUUUUGUCAAAUUAAUAGUUAAUUAAGGCUCCAGGACAAAAUUGUAAAGUCCAAUCAUUAUAGAGUUUUAAUUAAAAAAAAGCUUGAGGACUAGAUAACAAUUAACCAAAAGACCGAAAUGGGUAAUAAACCAUUAUUAUGUAAAAGUUAAUGGAAGAUUCUAUCUCUAAUAAGUGAAGUUAAAAGUUAGAUUAUGCUAACUAAUUGUGAUUUAUUAAGCUAAUUAGCUACUAAUUAAACUAUAAAUAACAAGAUAAGUGGAAAGAAAUAGAAGGUUACCAUCUUCUUCAUACUUCUUUAGCUGAUUCACCAUUGAAAGAAAAAGAGAAAACCCAUUCUUAAGGCUUAGUCAUUCGAACAUUCAAAUAGGUAUGGAAAUCAAGCUAUUUUCUUGUAAUUUUAUAGAUUUAUGGUCAUGAAAGCUUGAUACAGCUAACCCAUGUACCAAUUUGUGAAUUUGUUAAAGUUUUAGAAAGUUGUCAUUGUUGAUUAUUUAAAGAAUUUGGUUUGAAAUUGAUAGAUUUUAAGCUUAGAAUAUGAAAAUGACUAGAUUUUAAAGUUAAAUUAGCUUGUUUGUUAACUUUGUUAUGUUAGAGACCAAAUUGAGUAAAUGUAAAACCUGUCAUGAAAUUAUGUUACAAAUAGAAAAUAUAAGGCCUCUAAUGAGAAUAUAUGAAAUCAUAUUUUAAUCCAAAGCUAGGAAUUGAAAGUUAUGCCUAUCUCGAGUUUAGGGACUAAAUUGAAUAAAACAUAAAAUAUGAAGGAAAUCAAAAAAUAAAUUUAUAUAGGAUCAUGCAUGUCAGGAAAUUUUAUGAAAAUGUUUGGUAUUGAAUUUUUAUAUAAAAUAAUUGUAUAUAUCAAGAUUUGGUUCAAAGUGGAGUUAAUAGGGGAAAAGCUAAAAUUAGGGAUUAGUCUCUAAAGAAUCGACUAGUGUUUUGUUUUGAAUAAGUAAGUUCAUAUGGAAUUUUCUAUCUCAUUUUUGUAUGAUAUGUGUGCUUGUGUUUAAUUUGAUAUAUCUAUGUUUGAGUAUAAUUUAAAAUAUUAGUGAAUUUGACAUAUAUGUCUAGUAAUGGAAUGAAUUGGAAUGCCAUGUGAUGAUUGACUAUUGCGUAAUAAAUGUGAAAAUUUGAAUGACUAUAGAGUAUAAAUGUAUAAAAUUGAUUGAUUAUAGGGAUGAUAAUGAAAUAUGUGUAAUUGAUGCCUAUUGAGUUAUAUGCGUGCUGGAACGGGAUAUGUGAUUGUACGAAGAUUAUUAUAGGUCAUAUUGAGAUUCAACAUCCGUUGCGGAUCAUCAAGUAUUAUAUAGCUCAGAUAAUCAACUUGGUGUAAUUUAGCUUGGAUGAGCAACCUAGUAUGGCAUAGUUUACCUAUGUAUCUGAGUCUAUUUUACUAAAGUUCCAUCUGGUGAAACAUGAUAAUUGGAAUAUAAAACUUGAAAAUGUAAUGAAAUGAGUUGAUAAAAUAAUUUGAUAUAACAUUGAAAGGAAUUGUAUGGAAUUAGUAUAAUCUUAUAGAUCGGUAAUGGAAUAUGACAUUAAAAAUGAACUAUGUGAAGUUGUUAUGUUCUUAUAGAUAAUGAUAGAAUAUGACAUUGAGACAAGUUAUGUGAAAGUGAUGGAUUGAUAUGUUUUGAGUUUGCUUAUACCUACUAAUGAACAUGGAUACUUCUGCUCACUUGUUAUUUUAAGUGCUAUGUCUUAGUAAAAAUUUUGCCAAAACUAAGGUAGCUAACAUACAAAGUAUGCCAAGUAUUUAAGAAGAAUUGCUCCUCCUUUUUUCUGAAUAUUAAUUACUUACUUUCUUAAAUGACAUGCGAGAUUUUCUUUCUUUUUCCUUUCUCCCUUCUUUCUUUUCCUUCUCCUUUAUUCACUAAAUCACUACCAUCCACAACCUGUUCCUCCCUUAAGUUGUUCACAUGAUCAUCUUUAACCUCAACCUUCUUUACAAGAUAUAUAGAUAGAUGGGUGCAGAUGAAGAGGUCAGGAGUUGGGUUGAGUGACGGAGCAACGAUAAGUUAAGCAGAUGGUGUGGUUUGUGCAAGCAGGUACUGAAGAUUACAUACCCAGAAAAAUUAGGUCAUAGGGCAUAUAAUGUUAACUUUGGCAUGAUAAUUAAACUUAAUAUACACUAAAAUAUUUGACCGUAGCCAAAUGCCAAACUAAAAGCAAAACCAUGAAAACUUCAAUCACUACUUUCAUUACAUACAAAUGCAUAGGCAUUCGUAUUUUAUUGAAAACACACCAGCACGAUAAUACUAAAAAUUAAUUCACAAAAGCAAACACGGUUUGUAUGCAGGUGAGGACGACAACCAUAAAAGCAGCAACAGUCCCUGUUCCUCUCCAAAGAUUGGGGAAAUAAACACGCUUCAGAAUUCCAUAAUUUUCCUUGAUGAAUAAUGUCACUUUGCGCUUCCGACCCUCUUUAUAAAGCUGGUUCAAUCGAUUCGCGGUUUCCCGGUAGCAAGCAGGCGGCUCCCCAAUUCCCUGCAUAAGUUUCUUAAUCAUACGUUGCACCGCUAUAUUUGUGUUUAUUAUGGUAACCAGUCUUCCUUCGUUUUUGCCUUCCUUGCUUAAAAUCCCUUUUUCUAUUAACUGUUCUACAUCUUGGGCAGUUGGAAUGAGAUAAUUCAUUAGCUCUAUGUAAGCACAAACGUAGGCUUCAUCUGGACAAUGGCACAUCUCGAACGCCAUGACGUUCCGAAGGUAAGCUUCAGUGUUGGAGUGCACUGUCAAUUUGGGGAUUUUAAGCUUUUUACCGUCAAAUUUAACAUCAAGCAAACAUGCAGUUUGAUUAGGUUCAACUAUAAGCUCAACACCAACUUCAUGCAAACUUGUGGCACCAUACACUUUUUUCAACGUUGGGAUCUUGGUCUUGGAUGAUGGAUUUUGUGUUUUGGUCAUAUGGCAUCUUUGCAAAGCGGUGAAGUGUGGGAUUUGUAUAUGCUCGAACUGCGGGUCACAUGGAAUGUCAAAGUAGGAACAAGCUAGUUUAAGGAAAGAAGGAACAGAGGCAUCUGAUGCUAGUUUGUGGUUUUCAUAUGGUUUAUACAGUUCUUCAAGCACGAACAUUGGGAUCUGGUUUUCAAGUAAGAUCAAAUCCCUCCGUAGACCAGCGGACCAUGUUUCUUUCAACAACAAGUCUUUGAUGUCCGAAUUUUUUUCCACUUCCUUCUCAUAGUUCCUCAAGAAGAGCUCCAUGAUAAACAGUGCAUCAUAAAAUAUCAUCUUUACGAACUCGUCUUCAUCGAUUAAAGCCUCGUAACAGUUGAGAAUAUUUUUAUCGUAGCGUUCAAUGAAGCUCCAAAAACUUUCCAAUGCCUUCUUGGAAACGGAAGUCCUUUGAAGAAAUUUAACUUGAUAAUCCACUUUAUACUUGGCCAUGCUAGCCAAACUUGUUUUCCGAUAAUGAAGAGGGCCAAUUGAAAUUAAUAGAGGAGUGUAAGCUUUUGGAUUUGCUUGACGAAUGUUCCUAGGGACCUCGUAGAUAAACCCUUGGUCCGGCCCCCGCUCCAAAUCCUCAACUUCCGAAUCAUUGGAUGCUUCAUCUUUCUUUGUCUCAAAUGAUGGGGCGUUAAUUGAGCCUAAUUGUCCCUUCCUUGGAGCCAUUUCUUGCACCUACUUUUUCAUGUAUCAAGCAUACAUAUCAAGUUAGCAAUAAACUUUAUUUAUAUAUUGAAUGAAAAAUGAUUUUUGUAUCGUUAUGUGGCAUGCAACAUUACAGUGCUUUGAAAUCAGUAUGUACCGACCAGACCAGUACUGGUAUUUUACUGACUUAAAACUUACAGGGAAUUCUAUAACCUUUGGCUUCCAAUACUAGAAUUGGCUGGUGAAGCCUGGAUUUGGAAACGGAGAGAAAUGGAAGGGAAACGUUGAAGAACUAGUUACUAGAUAAUAAGUGAAUCUUUGAAGUCGAUCAGAGUGGCUAACGGCACUUAUAUAGAGGCAAAUUUGGAUCAGGUUGGUUGAAUCUGAUCCAACUAAACAUCAACAAAAAUAUUAGAAAAGGUGGCAUUGGUGGGUGUUUAUAAAUUGAAUCUUAAAAUGUAUUUAGUUAGCUGUUAAUGUCUCCUAUAUUUAAUAUAUUAAAGGGUUAAUGUGUUUCACAGCUUUCUUUGUCUAGCCAAGGGUGGAGUCGGGGGCUGGUAGGGUACCAUAAAUGUGUUUCACAGCUUUCUUUGUCUUCUAUCAACUGCCUUUUUCUUUUAGGUCUCCCAAAUAGACGACAGGAAAUUAAUUAGAAAAGGACGUAAGAAAAUACAAACAAACUAAAGGAUAAAUCCACAUUAGGGCUUUAGUUGCCAACUCCUUUGCUUCUCUUUGAAUUUCUCUAUUUCCUUGUGAUGAUUUUGUGAAUUUUAUUCCAUGAAACAGCGUUGUAAUAUCAGCAAAAGCCGAAACUAGCUUCCAUUUGAUUUACUGUCGAAGAUGUCGAUCCACUCCCUCUCCUAUUUAUGAUUAUGCGGAACAUAGUAAAAGUAUAGAUUUCUAUAAAUAAUUUUUGUAAUAAUUCUUUAUAGGAAAAUCUUUGAUGGAGAAGAUUAGGGAAACCUUUGUUUUUGAAUUUUUGGUUUGGUUUGGUAUUUCUUAGUAUAUAUAUGUAAAUAAAAUUCCUCUCCUAUUUAUGUAAGUUCUCAUGUCUCUUCGUAGAGACAUAAUUAUUCAAUAGAUGCUUAUUUGAAUAGAUACAUCUAUUAAGAAUGAGCAAUAUCAUUUUUUAUAAAUUACUUGAAUAAUCAUAAUUUUUUUGUUAAUAAUAAAGCAACAUAGCUUUUAUUAUUUAAGAUCCAUAAUUAAUAUAACACCCUUAACCCGUCACUGUCUUUGGAUUAGGGUUAUGGAGCAUUAUCCAUCCAUCGAAAAACAUUUAUCAUCAUAACAUUUAAAAAAUUAAUCUGAAUCAAAAUCAUAGUAAACAUAUACAUUUGGUCCCUAAAUCGAGCCUUCACGGCCUUAAAAAUAACUUAGAAGCAAUUUAAGACUAAUUUGAAACAAAAUAGAAUAUUUGGGAAAAUUUUGGAAAAAUUAGAAAACAAGGGUCACACGGCCGUGUGACAUAGCCUAGGCUAUGUAGCAAUCAAACAAGGGAACACACAGCCGUGUCCUAGCCCGUGUCUUUACCGUGUAACUCACUAAGUAGGGUCACAUGGCCGUGUCGGGGGCUGUGUGCCAGGCCGUGUAACUCUCUGAGUUGCAACAUACGGCCGUGUGCUAGGCCGUGUAACUCACUGAAUUAAAACACUAGAAAUUUACACAUGACACAUGGUCGUGUAGCUAUGCCGUGCAUAUCACACGGCCGUGUGACAGCCCGUGUCCCAAGCCAUGUGAUCCAUAAUUUGACCCUAAAACAAGCCAAUUCAAGGCCAAAAUACAUAUAAUCAAUCAUCCCAUUUGUGCACACAUUCAAGGGAUUUAAACAUCAUUCAAACACACCUAAACAUGCCAUUUCAAACAUCCUAAUUCAUCUAACCAAUAUGCCAUUCAAAGGCACCACAAUUGUAUCAAAACAUCAUGGAUCAAACCAAAACAACAUAGCUACUUUUCUAGCAUAUAACCUAGUUCAAUUAUUUACCAAAUCAUAUCACAAAUGAUCAUUUCCAAGCCAUCACAAACAUACUAAAAGAGCCUUAUAUACAACUACUUAAGAAUGGCCAAAAUGACCUAACUUGAACGAGCAUAAAAAGUUCAUCAAAUCCAAACAUAAACUUUACAAGCAUGAACAUACUAAAUCAACCAUUUACAUAAUCAUGAACUGCCAUUACAAAAGGUCCUAUACAUGCCAUUACUAACCUUGGCCAAAAUACUUAAAAACUAACGAAAAUGGUUGUUGGAUAGUGUGAUAGGUCUCUGACGAGCUUUCAAUCGAUCGAGCUUCUGAUUAUCUAUAAAACAAAGGAAAAUAACUACGUAUGCAACUAGUGCUUAGUAAGCUCAUAUAAACUCAAACAAAACUUACCAUUUCAUCAGCACAAUAUCAUAACCGAGACAAUAAGCUUAGCAUAAGCCUAUACAAGCAUCAUCAACUCACAAGUUAGUAUGCUUAUCCCUGAUACAAAUGUAUUCAAUCAUAUAGUAAGUAAGUGUAAUAGCCUGAUUUUCAGUGAUGUCGGAAACAAUGGUUCGAGACCACCAAAUCCGGCAAAUGAGCUCAUAAACUUUAUUAUUUAAUAUUUACGAGCCAAAUGAGGUUUUUAAAAGAUUUUUGAAUUAGUAAGUUUGUGGUUAUAAAGAUUUAUUACAUUAAUUGAUUUAGAAAAAGAGGUAUUGGGACCUCGGUGUUAUAAAACGAGUCGUAAUUAUUUUAUAAAUAUUUACGAAGUGUCAAUAAGGUAGUAUUAAAGUUUCGUUCGGAAAUUUUAACGCUUUGGUAGCCAAUUAAUUAAAAAGAACUAAAUUAAAAAAGGUGCAAAACUUACUAAAGUGAUUAAAUAGUCUAAAUAGUAAAUAAAUAAGGACUAAAAGAGAAAAUAGACCCACAUGAAUGGCUGAGGUGGCAUAGCAUGAAAAAAAAUCAAGGAUUUUAUGUGAAAUAAAGGCAAAAUUUACAAUUUUGCCAAAUUAAAGAGAAAUAAAUGGGAAAUUGAAAAUUCGAGACAAAUUCAUCAUCAUUUUCAACUCAAAAAUAGCCAUUGAAGAGGGUUUAAGCUGGUUUUUCAUAUUUUAGCUUCAUGUAAGUUUAAUUCUUGAUUUUUCCUUGAAAUUUUUAUGUUUUUAGACUUUUACAACUAGGUCCAACUUACUAUUUCAUUAGUUUUUAUUUUGUUGAAAGUUUUAGAAGAUACCAUUGAUAAGUUCGUAUGAUUUUAGUUAUUAAGUGAUGAAAUUGAGAUGUUGAUGGGUAUUGAAAGGUAUUUUAUUAAGGAAUUUUGGAUGAAAUCAUGUUUUAGGGAUUAAUUUGUAAAGUUGUUAAAUUUAUGUGAAAUUCUAAAAUUUCAUGGAAUUUAUGGGUUUCUAUUGAUAUAUAUAUAUAUAUAUAUAUAUAUAUAUGAAAGUAUUUAGACAUGGAAUAAGGAAUAAAUUACAUGAAUUUCAUUUUCCGACCCUAGGGACGAAAUAGUCAUUUAGUAAAAGUAUAGGGGCAAAAUAGUAAUUUUCCUAAGAUGUGACUUGUAUAGAAUUGAAUGUAAAUUGUAUUAAACUGAGCUAAAUUUACUCGUAUAGAUCCGGAUAGACCAAGUACGGAAGUAGAUCAUGUUAAAGAAAAAGUAUCAGAUUAGUAGAUUACAAGUCACGAACAAUUAGUUGAGGUAAGUUCGUUUAACUUAAUUUUAUAAUUAUAUGUUUGAAAUUAUUUGAAUGAAUUGUAUGUGAAUUAUUUAUUUUCCAUGUGUAUGAAAUCUGGUCACAUAUCCAGAAAAUACCUGAUAAAUGUUGAAGCUCGUUUGAAUGAAUGAAAUUAAAUUGGAUACAGGGUUCUGUCUCCCGAAACGGUAAUGGUCCUGCAUUUGUUGCGAACAUACCAUAGCUCAAAAGAGCAUCCCGGUAUAGGCCCUCUCAAGCUUCCCAUUAUAGUUUUCUCACAAGCUUCUCGUUAAAUGCUCUUCUGAGCAUCCCGACUAGUUGUGAUAUGCAUAUGUUGUAGACACACCCACGCUCUUAUGAGCAUUCUGUUUAUAGGCUCUUUGUGAGCUUCCCGUUAAAGGCUCCUCGGAGCUUCCCGUUAAGUGCUCUUUAAAGCUACCCGAUAUAGGCUCUUUGUGAGCUUCCCGUUAUUAAGCCUGGAUAAGCUUCUCGUUACAUGGCUUAAUGAGUUUCCCGUUAUAGUGCUUGAGAGAAAGCUUUCUGUUUAAAUGCUCUAAUGAGUACUCCCAGACAUGAAUUGACAUAUUUCUGAUUUUUACACUUUAUGUGUACUACCCUCGUAUCCAUCGAGAUUUCAAAUGAUUCAACGGAUGAAAUUGUGACAUGAAGACAAGUGAAAAUCAAAAUGAAAUCAAAAUCUGGAAAAUACAUGAAAUGCAUGGAACUUGGUAUUUGAUGAGCUCAUCUUUGGUAUUGAUAUUUACAUGAAAUGAUUAACUAACAUAUUUGAUGAGAUUAUGUGCUUAGGCUAUGGCCAAAUUGUUUGGAAUGCGUGUGUAUGUUUACUUAAUGUACAAAUGAAUGGAAAGUUAAUUUCCUGUUUAUACGGACUUACUAAGCAUAAUAUGCUUACUCUAUUUUACUUUCAUUUGUUUUAUAGUAAUACGAAAGCUUGUUUGAUUGGAUGUUUGACGGAGAUAACUCACACUAUCCACCGGCACAUUUCAGUACAAAUAUGAUACUAAUUAUAGAUAUAAUGACAUGUAUAGGUUUUGGUUAGCCAAUGUUAGCAUACAAAUAUUUUGGUUGUAAAUAGCCAUUGGAAUGGCUUGUGAUGAAUGUGUUUUGGUAUAUUAACAUAUAAAUUAAUUUCAUGUUUGAUAUAAGUGCUUAAUUUGAUUUAUGAAUAUUAGUAUGAUAUUAAGUAAAUAUGGCCUAGUAGAUAAAUUCAUAAACAUGGAUUUAUGAAGUGUUAUUGAGUUUGGCAUGAUUUAAAUGUUUUGGAUUGGCUUUUAGAUGUGUUAAAAAAUGUUUGUGUAGGUGGAUGAUCAAAUGGGUGAGAAAUAAGGCUUGGUGAUGGCCUUAUUUUGUCCACAUGGAUAGAGACACAAGCGUGUGUAUCAGUCGUGUGUGACACACGUCAUAGCACUUGGGCGUGUGUUCUGGCUGUGUGUCCCCCCAUCUUAAAAUUCAAAACGGAAUGCUCAGUAUUUUUCACACGGCCUAGCACACGGGCAUGUGGCUUGGCCGUGUGACCCCUACACCUUAAUGUUUUGCAAGUCAAAGAGUUACAUGGGCUAGGGACACAGCCGUGUAACCUACUUCAUAUACAACACAACCUAGGACAUAGGUGUGUCACUUGGCCGUGUGAGCCACACGGCCUGACCACGCGGGCAUGUGACCCCUGCACCUAGGAAAAGUUUUCAAAUUUCACGAAAAAUGCUCUGAGUUCCCGAUUUAGUCCUGACUUGUUUCUAAUGUAUGUUUUGGGUGUCGAGGGCCUUAAUAAGGGACUUUACGAUCAAUUUUCUGACAUGAAUGUUAAAAUGAUAUAAAAUGUCUAUAUUUAUUCUAUAAGUUUUGGUAAUGCUCCGUAACCCUGUUCCGGCGACGGAUACGAGUUAAAGGUGUUAUAGUAAGAUUCACAUAAACAUCAUUUAAUUCAUCAACUUGUUCAUAUGAUCAUGAACUAUUUCAUUUGUAGACUUACUGUGUCAUUUCCUUUAAUUAUCCGUGGAACCAUCUAUAAUUGCAUCGAAUCCUCGGGAAUGCUCACACAUAGUGUGCCUUUCCAUAUAACUGUAACAUUUCCUUUUCAAUAGUGCUCACAAGAGCUGUGAAAUGGGCCUACUCACACUACCUGUGGGUCAGAAUGUUAGCUACACGAUACUGCUCACACGAGCUGUGGAGAAUCCACAACAAAUGCAGGACCUCAACCAUCGGUAGGACAUUCAAGACCAGUACCCGAAACAUGAAAUCCCUAAUGACAUGUCAUUCAUAUCUUAAGAAUUUUAAAGGUUCAAACAAGACUCGUUAUCCAUCAAUUAUUUAAACAUCGAUACAUAUACAAUUACAAGUCCGUUAUAUUAACGCAACAUAGAAAAUAAUAAAUUUAGCUAACAUUAAUACUGUAAUAAUUCAUACAAACUUACCUUGGCAACUUUGGUCGUAAAAGUAGAGUCUAACACCAAUCCAAAGCUUUAGUCUUUCCUCGAUUUAAGUUGGUUUAUCUUGAUCUAAAUAAAUAAUUUCAUUCAAUUCAGUACUUCUACUAUUCAAUUUAAUCCAUGAUUCAUAUAUAUGUAAAAUUAUGAAAUUACCCUUAACAUUUUAACUUUUCACAAUUUAGUCUUUAAGCUCAUAAUUUGAAAUUUAACCAUUGUAAUCCUUUAUACAAGCUAGCCGAAUUUCUUAGGAACUCAUACCAACCCACCUAAACCAUUAUUUCAUAAUUUUACCAUGAAAUUUUACUAUCUUCACUAAUAAAUCCCUAAAUGCAAUUUCAUAAAAAAUCACUUAACAAAACAUGUUUAUUUUACAACCAAGAUUAAUAAUCUAUCAAAUAACUUCAAAACCUAUUAAAAAACCAUGAAAAGUCCCUCAACCUUUAAUAGUUUUGUAGACUAAGCUAAAAUUAACUCAAGAACAUAAAAAUCAUUAAAAACAGGGCUUGAAUUCAUACGAUGAAAGAGUAAUUGCUUGGUUCAAACUUUCUUCUUCUCUAAUGGCUAUUUUAGGGUUUGAAACAAAAAUGAAGAAGACAACAUCUUAUUUUUAUUUUAUUUACUUAGUUUUUCUUUUAUUUACCAAUUUACUACUUUAACCUUAUUAUUAAUAAAUUUUUUUAAUAAAAUUCAUUAAAUUUACCACUCAAGUCCAUUAAAUUUCAAUAAAUUUACUACUUUAACCUUAUUAUUAACCACUAACUUUAAAUAUGGUAUAUUUACCACUCAAGUCCAUUAAAUUUUCUUUCCAUAGCCAUUUAGCCCUUUUUAACUGUAGAAUUCAACUUUUAUACUUUUUACGAUUUCGUCUUUUUUACCUAAUUAACCAUUUAAACUUCAAAAUUUCUUAACGGAACUUUAAUAAAACCUUAAAAUAAUCUCUUAGACAUUAAAUAAAUAUUAAAAUAAUAACUCACUCGUUAGAAUUGUGGUCCUGAUGCCAUUAUUUUUGACAUCAUUUAAAACAGGUUGUUACAACUAAUCACUAUGAAUAAUAACGAGUCUUGGUUAAUAAUCAAGUAAAAUAAUUUUUGAGUCACUUGAUACUUUUAAUUUGCAACUAUUGGAACAUUAUAUAUAUUUUAUAAAUCACUCUAGAAGAACAAUUAUUAGUCAAAAUAGUUGUUCAAAACAACCGUUGUUUAAGAAUAGUUGCACUUAGAGCAACUAUAUUUAGAACAGGGCUUCAGUUUAAAAUAGUUGUUAUCUAUGUAGCUGUAAUUUGAGAACAUCUCUAGUUUACUAUAAUAGAAUUUCAAUAAUAAUUAUGUUUAGGACAACCAUUGUUUGGAACAACUUCUAUUUCGAAUAUUGUGUUUUUUCGGAAGAGCCAUUAUUAAGAAUAAGGUAUUCCAAGAAAAGUAUCACCAUAAAAUAACUCUUGUUUAGAAAAGCCUUUAUAUUAAAAUAACUCACAUUUGAAACGAGCCAAAAUAAUUUUUUUUCAAGAAUAGCCUUGGUCUUGCAUUUCAAUAGAUGUUUAAUAGGAGAUGUUUCACGAGGUACUAUUUCAUAAAAGUAGAAGAAAUGAAAGUAACCCCGAAAUAUGAGAAGUUCUUAGGCUAUUUUUUUAGAGAUGUUUUGAAGAACUUAGCUUUAGAGAUCAUAUAUGGAGGUAGUUAAAAGGUUUCCUUUUGACCUUUUCCUGUAACAUUGGGCACUUUUCAUUCUGAAAUUGAAAUAGGUUGUAAUAACCCAGUGAAAACUUGGUGUUUGACCUUUACCCAUUGACAGGUCAAACAUUUUGCAACAUAGUCAACGGUUUCCCUUUUCAUUUUGGGCCACCAGUACUUUUCUUGCAAGUCGCGAUACAUUUUUGCUCCACCAGGAUGCAUUACAAAGAAACUAAUAUGAAUCUCACAUAGAAUCAAUUCUUUUAAUUCAACAUAUUUAGGAACACAGAUUCGAUUACAAAAUCUAAGGCAAUCAUUCUUAUCUACACUGAAAUUUUCAAUGAUGCCUUGCUGAACAAGUUGUUUUUUCUUAGAUAAAUUAAUAUCAACAAAUUCUGCCUCCUUUCUCCAAUCAAGAAACACGAGAUUAAUUCUCAAUUCAGCUAACAGGCUACCAUCAUCACAAAUAUUGAGUUGAGCUAACAUUGCCCGCAAUUCAAUUGCUACCUUUCUAUUCAGAGUAUCAAAUACAACAUUUGCUUUCCAAAUAUGGUAAUCAAUUACACAAUCGUAAUCCUUCAAUAGCUCAAUCCAAUAAUGUUGUCUCAGAUUGAAAUCCUUUGGCGAUAGGAGGUAUUUGAGACAUUUGUGAUCUAUACAAAUACAACAUUUUUCACAACACAAAUAAUGCCUCCAGAUCUUCAGAGUAAACAUCACAGCGAUCAAUUCUAAAUCAUGUGUCGGGUAAUUGAAUUCAUGCGGUUUUAAUUGAUGAGAUGCAUAAGCAAUCACCUUGCCAUCAUUCAUCAACACAAAACUCAAACUAUUCAAUGAGGCAUUAUUGAACACCAUGAACUCUUUCCUUAACAGAGGCAAGGUUAGGAUCGACACUUUAGUGAACAUUAUUUUCAAUUUCUCAAACUUUCUUGGCACCAUUUAUUCCAUUCAAACGACAUGUUCUUUUGCAGGAGCUUAGCCAUAGGCAAAGCUAUUUUGAAAAACCCAUUCACGAACCUCCUAUAAUAUUUGACCAAACCAAGGAAACUUCAAAAUUUGUUACACUUUUUGGUGUUUUCCUUAGAAUGAUAACUUUAAUAUUUUUAGAAUCGACUUGAAUUCCAUCAACGAAAAUAAUGUGCCUCAGAAAUGCCACUUCAAAUAAUCAAAACUCACAUUUAUUGAGCUUCCAGUAUAGUUGUUUCUCUCGCAACACUUGCAAUAUAAUUCUCAAAUGCAUUUCAUGCUCAGUAUUUGAUCUUAAGCAUAUCAGGAUAUCAUCAAUGAAUACAAUUAUGAACUAAUCUAGAUAAAGCUGGAAUAUGCAGUUCAAGAGAUGCAUGAAUAUCAUAGGGUCAUUCGUCAGUCUGAAUGGCAUCACAAGAAAUUCUAGUGAACAUAUCGUGUACAGAACACUAUUUUUGGUACGUCACUAUCUUUUACCUUUAACUGAUAAUAUUUGAACCUCAAAUCAAUCUUGGAAAAGACUGAAGCACCUUUCAAAUGGUCAAAAAAAUCGUCGAUACGUGAUACAGGAUAAUGAUUUUUGAUUGUCAACUUUUCCAACUAUCUAUAAUCAAUGCAAAGCUGCAUUGACCAAUCUUUCUUCUUGACAAGCAAUAUUAAAGCUCCCCACGUAUAAAGCCACACUACAGGAGAUCUUACAAUUGAACUUUUAGCUCAUUUAACUCUGUCAAUGUCAUACAGCAUAGAGCAAUUGAUACUGGAGUUGUACCUAGGUAAACUUCAAUUACAAAUUCGACCUUACGAUCAGGAGGCAAUCCUUCCAAUUCCUCAAAAAAAUUUGUGAACUCGUAUAUUGUUUAAAUAUUGCUUAUUUGGCUUUCAUCAGAGUUUGACUUAAUUAUAUAGGCCAAAUAUGCUUCACAACCUUGAUUUAAGAGCUUAUUAUCUCUAACUGAUUAAACGAUACAAAUUGAAUCACUUGUUAUAAUGCCUUUCACUUCCAUGGCCUCACCAUUUGGACUUUGGAUAAAAAAAUUCUUUUAGCAAUAGUCUAGUAUCACACCAUGUUUAGUUAACCAAUCUAUUACCAAAAUCACAUUGAAAUUGCCAAAUGGCAUGAUCAGUAUAUUAGUAGGGAACUAUCUAUUAUGAAUUUCCAAUGGACACCGUUUACAAACUUGGUCAACAAGCACGGUUUUUCCCAAAUGACUUGAUACAACCAUUGCAAAUUUUGCCAUUUUAGAUUUCAAACUCUUUGAUUUCACAAAACCAUAAUUUAUAUACGAAUGGGAUGAACCAAGGUCAAUCAAACUAUAUACGGGUCAUGUGUGUAAAAGAAAUAUACCUACUACGACAUCAGUAACAUCACCUUUCUAACAGGAAUGAACCACAUAGGCUCAAGCUGAGACUCUAGCCUAAGAUUGUUGAAUUGUUGACUUGGUCCUUUUUCUCAGACCACCCCUCAAUACAGAACCACUACAAGGAUUUCCCCAGCCCUUAGUAGCGAACCUCUGAGCUGUAACAGAUAGAUCAUUAUCAUUCCUCGCGCAAAAUCAAAUAAAGUGGUCUUGGGAUCCAAAAAAAAAGCAAGCCCUUGUCAACUUCCAACACUUCUUCUGGUGUUUUUUCCAUAAUUAUUACAGUUCAAAAUAUCAUAAUCUCUAGCGAGACCUCUUAUAACACCCCUAACUCGUACCCAUAGCUAGAAUAGGGUUAUAAAGCAUUACCAAAGUUUACAUUUCGAAACUAUCAAAAAUAUAACUCAUUUACUUCACAACAUCAAUCAUAGCAAAUUCCAUCAAUAACAUACAUAUUGUCCCUUAUACGAACCUUCGAGGCCCUAAAAACACAUUAGAAACAAAUCAAGACUAAAUCAGAAACAUAUAGAAUUUUCAGGGAAAAGAUGAAAAUUUUCAACUUGCAGGGGUCACUCGGCCGUAUAACUCACAUGGCUAAGAUGCAUGCCCGUGUCUCAGACUGUGUAUGCAUUCGAAGUAGGGACAUAUGACCUUGUCCUAGCCCGUGUAACUCUUUGACUUAGGUCACACGGCCAAGCCACACGCCCAUGUGCCAGGCCAUGUAACUUUCGAAAUGCAACCUUUAAAAACCUACCUAGGACACACGUUCGUAUCGCCUGGUCAUGUGUCACACAUGGCUGAGACGCACACCCGUGUGUCUGACCCUGUGAACGAAAAAUAGGACAUUUCCAAGCCCUUUUUCUCACCCAUUCAUGCACACCCCUAUAACCAAUUUACCAUAUGUAAUCAAGCAUUCCAAAGUACACCAAACCAUGUAACAACAAUUUAUCUAGAUAGGUACAUAAUCAUACAACCAAUAUGCACAAAAGGCACCUCAAUCACAAUAAUUAAACAUGUAUAACUAAACAUGUACAUAAUCAUACGCAAUUUGGUCACAUAUAAAUACAUCGUUUAUCAUAUUAAACUUUUUAUAACAUCAUAACGCAUCCCAAUUACGUACUUACCAUUUUGUCCCCUUUUCUUACUCAUUAGAUAUGCAUAGUACAAGCAUAAUAAUAAACAUCAAUCACAUCCACAAGCUUGGCAUAAGCCUAAGCACAUCAACAACAUAUGUUAGUUCAUUUGAACAUGAUUCAUAUGAAUUUAACAUGGAUAACCAUUAUACUUGAGCACAAUUCAAUUGGAUUUAUCAUCCAUCUCAAAAUAUAUCAUGUUUUUCAUAUAUCACCAUUUUAAUGAGUUUUUUGCAUACCUAUCUUAAUUCAUAUUGAGCAUUUACCAUUUCAUUUGCACAACACAUAUGACAUAAAUAUAGCAUUAACCAUAUACACAAGUUAGUGAAUAAACACAUAAUUUAGCAUAAAUCACAGCAUGAUAAAAUAACUUUCAAGAAUAUAGCUGUCGAUCAGAACGUAGCAGUCAGUCUACUCACACAAGCUGUCCAUCGGAACGUAGCUACACAGUGCUACUCACACAAGCUGUCAAGUAACUGUAACACAUGCCGGAAACUCAACCACCGAUAGGACAUGCAGGACCAGCACCCGAAACAUGGUAACCCCUAAUGACAUGUCAUUUGUAUCCUAUAUAUUCCUGAAGAUCAAAAGGGUUCAAUAGUCGUCGUACGUCAUUAAAUUUUUAUCGUUUCUUUACUUGAUAAAUUGUAUAAUUAACAUAUAUAUUUAUUAAUUUUCAAUAAAAUCAUAUAAUAACAUUCAAUUUAGCCAACAUUAUACAUAGUAUAGUUUAUACGAACUUACCUGGCUAUUUUCCAAAAAUGUAAAAGUACAGGGGCAUUUUGAUAAUUUCUAAUUCUCUUUGAUUUUCCACCCGAUCUUAAUCUAAAUUAAUAAUUUCAUUCAAUUUAUUAAUUUAGACGAUAAAACAAUAUGUUUUAUGCAAUUUAUUCUUUUUUUACUUUCUUACAAAUUAGCCAUUUUUAAUACAAAUACUUGCUAGUAAAAUAUUCAUGGCAUUAAAUACAAGCCAUUUACGCAGUAAUUUCACAAUAAACUCUUGUAUUUUUACUAUUUCAACAAUUUAGUCCCUAAUUGAACAUAAAAAAACCCUUAGCAAAAUACUUUUAAAUACCAACCAACAUUUUAAUUUCAUAAUUUAACAUAAAAAAUCACUAGAUUCAUCAAUGGAAACAUUCAAAAUCCUAAUUACAAUGAUCUCAAAAACAUAAAAAUUAAAAGAAACAAGGCUAAAAUGGCAUACCAAUUAAGCUUUUGAACAUGCCGAAACAUCCAAGCAAAAGAAAUGGCUUCUUCCCCCAUUUUCAAAUCGGUGAUGAAGCUUUGAAAAAUAUGAAUAAAAAUUUUGUUUUAUUUAUUUUAAUAUAAUUAUCAAAUUACCAUAUUAACCUUAGUUAAUAAUUAAAUAAAACAUCAAAUUCAUGUCCAUUAUUGUCCAUUAACACCUUGAAUGGUCUAAUUACCAUUUAAGUCUCAUUUCCUUUAUUCAAUUAACCAUUUAAUCACUCAAAUCAAAUAGUGAUUAAAUUUACAUCUUUUACAAUCUUUUUAAUUAAUUAACCAUCAAAACGUUAAAAUUUUUUGACGAAACUUUAAUACCACCUUAAUACCACUCUGUAAAUAUUUAUAAAAAUAUUAAGGGCUUGAUUUAUAGAAACAAGGACACAAUACCUCAUUCUCUAAAACCAUUUGACCUUAGGGUCUUACCACUUGAACUUAAUAAGUCACUUAAAUAACAUAAAUUAUCAAAUCAAAAACCUUUUUAAAAUCACAUUUGACUUGUAAAUAUUAAAUAAUAAUAUUUACUACUUACUCGUCGGAUUUGGUGGUCCCAAAACCACUAUUUUCGACACCACCAAAAAAUGGGCUGUUACACCUCUAACACUGCCCACAGAUACUAAUAGCUGACAAUCUUGGACUCUUUCUGAUCUAACGGACUUUGGGGUCGCUCUCUAAGGCUCUCAAGACUCUCUAGCUCACUUAGGUAAUGAAUACGAACUAGAAUUCUUUAUCCAGUUCCCGAAGGCUCGGGAGGGUUCAGUCCUAUUGUCAAGGCCCAUAGCCUACUCCACAAUCUUGGCUCAUUCAGUCAUGUCAGAAAAUUCUUUUAUUCUCUGGGAGACCAAUUGAACUCUAAGCUCAUUAUACAAUCCUCGAAGGAAUCCCUUACAACUUUCCUCUUUAUAAAUAUUAGAUUUAGAGCGUAUUUGUUGAACCAUGAAAAUUCACAUUUACAAUCAACUACUAAUAUCUCACCCUGUUUCAACAUCAUUCAUGCUUCUAAUCUUCCAAAUAUAACUCAUCGACGUACUUUUUCUAGAAUUCCUACUGAAAAAAUUCCCAAUUAAUUUGAUAAUUUAAAACAUGUUGGGUAACUAUUAGCCACCACUAAUAUGCCUCCUCUUUCAAGAGGGAAACUACGUACAUGACACAUUCAUGUGAAGAACACUCGAACUAUUGCAGUAACCAGUUUUUCGAUUCAAGCAAAGCCUUAUUUGUCUAUGGAUCAACCCUUUUCAAUCCUUUAAACUCAUUGGCACAGUCUUUUAGAACUCUUUUAUUAGAGAUCGUCCAACUACGAGUACUGAUGCAACUUGUAGAGUAGCUCUCGCCACUCACUGAAGAGCUUUCGCUAUAACGUAGAGUAAAUCUUCAUCCCUAACCCUCUAGUCAAUAUCUUACAACUCUAAACUGAUGAGCACCGGCUGAAUCAAUGCCAAGUGUCUCAAUCCCAAUUCUAUUUUUACUUUCAUCGGAAUGAUCAUUGCUAUAUACAUCAUCACUAGCCUUGUUUUUUUUAUUCCUCUAACAUCUUUAGCUAUAAAAUAGAAAAAAAAAUUAUAAUCAGUAUCUAAAUCUUGAACCAAACUUGACUCAAUUUUGGCAUAUACCUUUACACUCAAUUUUUGAGCUUGAUUUAAUCUUAAAUCUAGCUAAACCUACAGCUCUUAUACCAAUAAAUGUAACACCGUGAUACCUAAUCUAAUCAUCAGAUCCAAGUUACAAGGUGUUACAUUCAUUGUGAGAGCAAGUGCAAUCAAAAUUCGUAUGAUUCAUACCAUUAAUUUCAAUCAAAACAUGCAUGUAAUUCAUGAAACAACCAUUUUCAGGUCUUACGUGAGCUUAUGAAAGCUCUAAAACUAAAUCGAGAUAGAUUUAGGACCGAUUUAUAAAAAAUUCAAAACAUCAAGUUGACAUCACGAUGUAACAUAUUGAGUAGGCCUCGUCACAACAAUCGAACUCGGUACUAUGCCCUGGUAAGGCAACCUGGGCUUGUCACAACGACCACCAUUCAACACCAUAAUGUGACAUACUAUUUUCAAUUGGUUGAGUUUUGGUACAUGUUUGCCACCACCUAAAGCUUUUCAAAUUCAUUUGCAAUUAUAAAUACAACCAAAUUCAUAUACCUAAUGAGUUCCAUUAUGUCUAAAGUACCAUUUGUGCACCCAUACAUUCAUUCUUUUAAACAAUUUCAGUCAGUCCUUUAUUAAGCUAAUUGACAUUUAGUUACCUAUGCAUAUGAACACAUUACCAACUAUACUUCAAAACAUAACCAGCCAUAAGUUGUGACAUUCAUCAUUUUAUAUACAUAUAACAUAUGAGCAAUUCAAAAUACUAAUCUAACUCAAGCUAGGUACAUGAUGACUACCUCUCGACAUACUAUUGUCGAGAAUGAGAAUAUUACAACUAAAUAUGUAAAUUAAAGCGGUGUCUACAAGUAUACAGGUUAGGUUGUAAUAUAGUUUGUACAACAAAAUAUAGAAAGUACCUCGAUGAUUGUAUCCAAAAGAGGCUUGAUUAAAGUAAAAUUAGCUCCUACGCUAACAUGUUUAACUAGUACUUUAACCAAAUUAUAUUUCGACGAUUCAUAAAGUAAUGAUAAAAGUGAAUUUAAAAGGAAGAAUAAAAUAUUGACAGAAACAUGUUGUAAAUAUUAUCAUAUCUAAAGGUAGAAGACUAACUCGUUUCAGUGUUCAUAUUGAGCUCCUAUUUUAGGUUCUAUUCAAUCAGCUAGUCAUUAGCCUAGUAGGGCCACUCGCCUUUCCACAAACCUAAUGAAUCGGUAAGCACUGCUUAUCUCUCAAUGUCACAAGUCAGAUUGGGUCAGGGUAAGGUUUUUGAUCUGUCUUAAUUCAGUGUAGCAUACUAAACUAGUUUUCACACUUUAAAAGCUUGAAAUUAAGCAUUAUCAUUAAGAUUUAAUUAUGUUUUAGUAUGUUUUGUUAAAAUCAAUAAAAUGGGAAAAAAUGAGUCAUUUAUUGACUUUAGGGGCCAAAUGAGGCCUAAGGGUGAGCUAAUGAACUUCAUAAAUGUGUAGGAGACCAUUAGAAGGUGUAACAAACAUAUGCUGGUCACUAUGUCGCAACAUGGAAUGCUCAAUGUCGCAACAUAGGGAGCAGAAUGGAGGAAAUCACAAGACUACUUUCGAUGUUAUGACAGCACUUAAGGAUGUCACUACAUACCCCUGAAGGUAUCCAAAAGGGGAGUAUACUGAUUCCUAUAUCCCGACACAGGUUCUGGUAUAUUGCGACAUUGACUCUGGACGGUAAAUAACAAGAGCCAAGGGGCGUUUUGGUUCGUACAAUUAAACUUAAAGUUGGGAAAAGUCAGCUAACCUAGGGUUAAAGAGAAAGACCACUUAAAAUCUAUACAUACGCUCCUUUGUCACAUGUAAAAGACACCAAUUACUUAGCUUAGUUUUCUGCUUUUAAUUUCAGUUUAUCUUUUCUUCCUUUUUAGGUUUUAGAUUUAUUUUCAAAUUGUCCUUGUUUAUCUUGAUAGAUCUGAUUUGUGGAGACGGUUAAACUCUGUGGAUUCAAUUUAUUCUUAAUACAAAUUAAGCAUUUUCUUAAACUCUACACUUCAAUUCAAUUAUCAUGUUUUGUCUUUAUAUCAAUUCCAUAUUGUUUAUGAAAACCAUGAGAAACUAAUCCUUCUUUGAGGGAUUAACGAGUGGAGGUAUGAUCCAUUAUCUAUUUUACAGGGUUACUCAACGGAUCAGCUAUUUGGAAAAGGAAAAACUUAAAAGCCUAGGAUUGACAACCAUAGGAAGUAAUCAAGGUGGGAAUUAACCCAAAACUGGUAUGGUCUAUCCGUGAACACUUUCACCCUAAACCAGUCUGGACUGUGAGGUCAAAAGAUAAGUAGUUCUUACUGAGUCAUUAUUUGAGUGGAAGAUCGAAAGAUCCUAUUGGGAUAUUAACUAGUUGAUUGAUGAGGAACAUGAAGUGACAGUUGAUGGGAAAUACCGAAACGAGCUAAUAAUCCAUAACCAGAUUUGAUUUAUCCUAUUCUUUGAUCUCUUGAAGUUUAUUUCUUUAUGUUAUUUUAUUUUGUUAUUAUAAAAAAAUCUUAAAAAUUCUCUUUUAUUACCAUCAUACUAUAACUAAAUUAAAGUACUAAUUAGAUCUUUUAGUGUUUACAUUAAAAUUGAUACAACACUCGCCUCCCUUGUGUACAAUCCUCAGAGUACUCACCUACUCCGUUAUAACUAUAUUACAACUAGACCUAUAUACUUGCGGAUACCACCUCAUAUAUCUAUAUCUUUUACUGCAAUAUUCAUACUCUGCACGUUAGUACAUCUGAAAGCAGUCAAUUUUCACAGUAGAAUAUACUGAUUACGGGUUCAUAUCUACCUACAUGACUUCCUACGGUUGUCAAGCCUAGGAUUUAAUUUUUUUUCUUUUCCCUACCAAUUGAUCCGCUAAGAAACCUUACAUAGUUGCCAACUAAUCCCACAUCCACCUGUUAAUCUUCCUAAGGGAUUAGCUACUCAUAUAUCUAACAAACAUCAUAAAUUAGAAUUGGAAUAUAAACAUUUACAAAAUCAAAUAAAAAGAUUAAGAAGAUCCUUAAUAUAUUGAAGCUCAAAAUGCAAUCCUUAAUAAUCUCAAAUGAAUCCACAAUUUGAAUAUCUUUAAUAACAAAACAAGAAUGGAACUAAAAUUUAAAAGUAAAACCUAACAAAAGAAUGACAAUGAUACUAAAAUGAGGCAAAAGUCUCCUUAAGCAGUUCUGAGCAAUAACUUUAUAGACCUAGGUUAACAGUCUUUUCUUGACCUAAAAUGGGUGACUAACCUUCAUUAAAUUAUGUUGUGUGAAUGAAAACACCCUUGAUCAAUUAAGUGGCCACAUCGUAUUGGUGUCGUAACACUCUCAUGCUUGUGUCGCGACAUUGAUGACAGAUUGCUUCUUAGGGUGUCGUUUCAAGGUUGUGUUGCGACAUACUCAGUAGACUGCUCAUUGUGUAUUCUUCUUUUUGUGUUCUGACAUCCCAGCUCCAUUGUGGCCCACUGUCUUUCUAUCCUAAAGUGAUGUCCUAUACACUCACCUAACAUGUUAGUCCACCUUUAGGCAAAAUUCGGUUUACAAGGUCUUAUAAAAUACCUAAAUUGCUCACUUUAUUACCUAAUUGCUAUGGAUAAAAACCAAGUAAAAACAUAACUAAAUUGCUUUUUAACAAGCUCAUUAAGUACAAAAGAGGUUUAAUCUGCUACGACAAAUUAUGGUAGAUCACAUGUCGUGUAACCAAUAAAAGGAAAUUAUAUAAACAUUUUUUAGUCUGGGAUCUUUAUCUGGAUGUUAAAGUUGAUACUCAAGAACUUGAUAUAAACCUAACCUGCACAUGAAAAACAAAUUGUACGCUGUGUAACACCCCUAACGCGUAUCCUUCUCCAGAAUAGGGUUAUAGAGUGUAACAGCCCGAUUUCGACUCUAAUCGGACAUAGUGGUUUUGGGACCACAAGUCCGAGUCAAAAAAAUAUUUUAAUAUUAUUUUGUGUGUUUAUUAUGUGUGAAUUUAAUUGUAUAAAUUUUCGUGUUUUAAUUUCGUCGUUUGAGUGUCAGAUUAAAUAAAAGGAUUAAAUCGCGUAAAAUAAAAAUUUAAUGGUUAAAUGUGAAAGUAUCUAUUUGUUUGUUGUUGUCUUUAUAAUUUGGAGGAUUUAAGAAGCAAUUAGUCCACCAUUAGGUGAGUGGAUGGCAAUGGUCAAGAAUGACCUUAUAAUAUGUGUUAUAUAUUAUAUUUUAACAAAGGUUAAUUAAGUAAAUUAAAUAUUAUGGUUAAUAUAUGUUAAAUAUAACAAAUUUAAAACCAUGUUCUUCAUCUCUUUUUUUUACCGAAACUAAGAGAGAAAAAUAAGGGUUUAAAGCUUUGGAAUAUUUGGCACUUACAAAGCUUGAUUAAUGUAUGAAUUUUGUUCGAUUUUUGUUAAUUUUUACGUUUUUGAGAUCGUUGCUUUGAAUACUUGAAAUAUGCCAUUGAUGAAUGCUUGAACAUUGUGAUAGUUGAUGAUGAAAAAUGAAAGAAAUGUGAUAGAUUAACAUGUUUUGUUUUUGAAUUUUUAGUGAAUUUGAGAAAUUAGAGCUAAAUUGUGAAAAUGAAUUUUUUGAGGGAUUAAAAUAUGAAAUAAAUGAAAUGUGUGGACUUGUAUGAAGAUAAGGAACAUUCGGCCCUAGCUUGGUGUGGGCAAAUUUUGUGUAUUUUGUGUUUUGUGCAAAAAGGACUAAAUUGCAAAAAGUGUAAAAUGUUAGGGGCAAAAUGGUAAUUUGCCCAUUUAUGUAUUUUUGGAUUUAAUUGAAUGUUUUGAUGAAUAAAAAGGUUAAAUUUGAAUAUGAUUAAGAUCGAGAAAUGAAGAAAACGGAUUUGGAUCGGGGAAAAAUGAAAGUAGUUGAAUAGUCGAUCGUGUCCGCUGAUAUUCGAGGUAAGUUUAUUAGCUAUUUAAUUUUAUUAAAUCAGUUUAUAUUACAUGUAUGAAUAUCAAAUGUAUUUAUGUUGAGUUAAAAUUAAAAGUAUAUAAAUCAAAUGAGAAGUAUGAAAAUUAUGUAUAUAUAUGUGUUAGGUUCGAAUGAGUAUGAAUAUACAAAUAUAUAUACAUCAAUGUCUUUGUAAAUAAUUUGGGUAUGGAACUAUAGGCAUGUGAUGUAUUCGAACAUAUGUAUGUAUAUAUGUCAAUAAAGUUUUAAUUUAGUUAAUGUUAAUUGUUUUAUAUGUUUACAUGAUGUUCGAAUAGAUAUAUAUAUAUAUAUAAAGAUAUAUAUAUGUAUCAAAUAUUUGUAUAAGUUGGAUUGAAUAAGCAUAUAUAUAUAUGUGAAUAAAUAAUUAUAUUGAGUAUAGGUAUGAAAUUAUAUUUAUAUAUGUGUGUGUUAAUUUCGAAUAUGUAUGUGUAUAAUGUAUAAAAGUACAAGUUCUUGUUUCGAAUAUAAGCAUAUAGUAAUAUAUAUUUGUUAGUUUCGAAUAUGUAUAUAUGUACAUGUAUAAGAUCUUGUAUUGAAAAGGUAUAUGAAAUUAUAUAGGUAUAUAUGGAAUUCAAAUGUUAAAAGUACAUAGGAUAUUAUAAGUUAAAUCUUAUGAUAUUAGUAGUGGAAUCUAAAGUAUGAGGUUAUAUAUAUAUAUAUAUAUAUAUAUAUAUAAAUGUGUUUCGGUUGAAUUAUUGAAUUAUUUAAGUUAGAUUUGAUGAUUGGGAUUUAUAUAUAUCCAUGUGUUUUAAAGAUAUAAGUUAUGAAUAUUGAGCUGAAUUUUAUGUGGAUUUUAUAUACAAAUAUGAGAUACAACUUCUGUGAAUUGAGAUUCUUUUGUUAAAGCUCAAUACCAAUCGGAUUUAUUGCCAGUGAAAUUAUUCAGACUAUACGUCUAGCAGGCUAAGUGCCGGUGAUCUGAUUCAGGUUAUAAACCUAGCAGGCUAAGUGCCAGUGAUCUGAAUCAGGUUAUAAACCUAGCAGGCUAAGUGCCAGUGAUCUGAAUCAGGCUAUGAGCCUAGCAGGCUAAGUGCCGGUGAAUCUAUUAAAUUAAGUGAUUAUAUGCAUUUGAUAUAUAUAUAUGAUUUUGGUUAUAUGUAAUGGAUAAGUUUAUGAACAUUUAUUUAUAUGUAUUUGAUGAGCAUAUAAAUGUUUGGAUCUAUGUGUUUAGUGAAUAGGCACAUAUAUUGGUUGUUAUGAAAAUUGUUGAAUAUACAUGUAUGCAUUCGGCACAUGUGGAUUAGAAGUAUAAAUGUGCAUUUGGUUCAUGUAGUUGAUAAGUAAAAAUAUAAGCUUUUGACUUAUGUAUUUGAAAGAUCAUAGAUAUGCAUUCGAUGAAAUGCAAAUGAUAAGUAUAUUAGAAAUUACUAUAUGCAAUUAAUGAUUAUAUCUGUAACUUGAUUAUAAGCAUAUAAUGUUUAUACAUAUGUUCGUUUAUAUGUAUUUUAGAUAUGCUAUAAACUUACUAAGCUAUAAAAGCUUACUUUGAUUGUUUUUGUCCAUUUGUUUUUUAGUUAAAAACCAAGCUGCAGACUCGGGGAUUGUUAGCGAAGAUCAUCACUCUAUCUACUAUCUCAGUAUUAAAACGUUUAAAUUUUGGGAGUUGUACUUUAAUGUACUGUAUAUAUAUAAUUAAUAGCCAUAUGAAACUAGCUUAUUUUUCUUACAGUUUAACUGAACUGAAGUGUUAUGUUUUGUUAUAAAAGGUUAAAGUAAAAUUUAUAAUUAUACUUACUUCAUAUUUGACUAAUUUAAUAUAAAUGUAAAAUUCUUGAAUUCUACUGAAUGUCUGUGUUAAGUUGCGUUUUAUUUGGUAACUCUUCGUAACCCUAAUUUAUCGACGUAUACGGGUUAGGAGUGUUACAUAGAGCAUUACCGGAGUUUAUAAAUUAAUUUUCAGACAUUUCAUUUCAUCAAGCAUUCAUAUUUAUGACCAAUUAUAAUCAAAACAUUUAUGAGCUAACAUUAACCAAUUUAACUUAUACAAGUCAUUAUAACUAAAUCAAAUCAUCCAAAAUUACCAAUAGAACCAAUGGAUAAUGUGAUAUAUCUCCAACAAGCUUCCAACCCAAUCGAGCUUCCGAUAAUCAUUUAAAUGCAUCAAAUAAUUAUACAUAUUACCAAUAAUAAUUCGAUUCCAAUAAUAAAACACACACACAUAUAUAUAAUAUUCAUUACCAAAUAGCAUUCACUUCAAUUAAAAUUAUAUAGAAUAUAGCUCAUACGAGCUCACCGGACUAAAUUGCAGAAUUACCAAAAUUCAGGAACAUUUUGGAAAUUUUCUAUUUUUCUCAUAUUUCCACCCAAUAUUGUUCUAAAUUUCAUUCAAAUUUGUAAUUUAGAUAAAUAACCAAUCCAUUUAAUGCAAUUUGGCCACUUUUUGACAUUUUUACAAAUUUACCCUUAAAGUUUCACAUUUGUUCAAUUUAGUCCCUGAACCUAAAACAUGUAAAUUGGUCAUUUUUAAUGAAAACUCAUGCUAGUUAAAUAAUCAUAUAUUUUCCUCCUCCUCCUCUCCAUUCCACAUCCUUAAUGUAUAUAACAUGCUUAUAGGUAAUAUUAUAUAUAAUUUCACCAUUUACUUAUAUAUAUUCAUUCAAAGCUGUCCACUUGAGUCGUAGUCACUAAAUUAUUUAUAUCUUGAGAUACAGAACUAAAAAUUAAGAUCCGUAAAUUUUAUCUGAAAUUAUACUCACAUAUGUUCUUACCAUAAAAUUUUCAAAAUUUUUUCCUUAGCCAAUAAGUACAGUUUAUUCUUUAAAGUCAUCCCUAUUCUGCUGUCUAACAGUUCUGACCCUUCUUCACUAAAAAUUAAUUAUAUCCUCGUACAGAAUUCUAAUGAUGUUUUCGUUUGUUUCUAUUGAAAAUAGAGUCAUUAAGGAUUUAAACAUAUAAAUUUAAGCCUCUAAUUAUUUUUAUCCAAUUUUUGAUGAUUUUCCAAAGUCAGUACAGGGGAACCCGAAAUCAUUCUGACCUUGUCUCACAAAAUUUAUUAUAACUCAUGAUUUACAAUUCUAUUGCUUACACCGUUUCUUCUAUAAGAAACUAGACUCAAUAAGAUUUAAUUUCAUAUUUUAUUCAUCCUCUAAUUAGAUUUUCAAAAUUUAUGGUGAUUUUUCAAAGUUAACCUACUGCUACUGUCCAAAACUGUUUUAGUGCAAAAUAUUGAUUAUUAAGUUUAUAACACUCUUAUUUUCCUUCUCUAUACUAUUUCUCAUCACUUUCUCUUAUUUUCUCUUCACUAACAUAUCAAGAACAUAAAUCCUUAUAUAAUAAAACCCUACAUUAACAUCAAUUUCAUACUUUUUCAAUAAUAUCAAACUCAAAAAUAUAUUGAAAUCUUUAUGCUCUUACCUUGCUCAAUUGAUUUCAAUCUUUAACUUGAUUUUCUCUCUCCUCCAGCCUCUAUUUCUUGAAUCUAACUUGAUAUUCUAGCUCCCCAUAGUCUCAUUGUUAUCUUUCUCUCUUGAUGGAUAUGGAAAUUCUUUUGAUUUUUAGGUGAAAAUGGUAACUUUUUUUGAAGGAGGGACCAAAUUGUAAAGAAAGCAAAACUUUCUUUCUUUCUCUCUUCUCCUCACGUUGGAUGCAUGGAAGAUGAUGGGUUGGUUGGUUUGUUUUUUUAACCUUUCUUUCCACAUAUAUAUACUAAACAAUAAAAUAAUAAAAUAAUAAAAUAUUAUUUAAAAAUCAAACUAAAAUAUUAAUAAACUAAUAUUUAUUUAUUUAUUUAAUCUAAAAUAUCUCCAACAUCAUCAUUAUCUUCUAGAUUUCUCUCUCUUCUAAAUGACCAUUUUGCCCUUUAAGAUAUUUUAAAAUUCCAUCUUUGAGUCAUCACUUAAUUUGGUAAAAUUACGAUUUAGUCCCUCAAAAUUCUUCCCCUUUUCAAUUUGGUCCUAAUCCAUCCAUUUUUCUUAGUUUCUAGAUCACUCCACCCUUAAAAAUAUUUACACAUUUGGCGAGUUAUUUGUUUUAGUGGACCCUUCUGCUAGUGAAUCCACCACCUGUGAAAUUCUAGUGUUGUGAACUCGUUAGUCUAUUUUAGAACUAGCAGCAAGUGGGACACGUAUUAGUUAUGUUUCAAACCUUAAGAAAAGAGCAUGUUAUUGUACGUGAAACCUAGAGAGCCUCGUAUGAUGUGAUUAAUUAGUGGAAUCGUGUAUGCAUGAUUUGUGAUUAGAGACCCUGAUUACAGUGGAAUAUAGAUUAAAAUUUUCCUAUAAAUAGGACAAAAUAAAAAUGGAGAAAGGACUUUACCUUCUUUUUCUCUAUUCAUAUUCGUUAUUUCCGAAGAAAAAACUUAGAGUGUUCUUCAUUUGUAGAAGGAACCAAUUGUUGUGUAGAAACUACCAUUUCCAAGCCAGGUGUUGGUAAAUAAUUGAGACUUUCUUUAAUUUAAUACUAGGAAAUGAUUGGGUAGUGGGAAUCAUUUAUUAGGGUUUUACCAGAACUACUAGACAAAAGGAAAUUUCCUUUUGAAUAAAUGAUUGCGUGUUACUAAUUCUUAUUUUUUGUUAAAGUUUCAAUUGUUUAUGUAUAUUAAUAGUAGUGUUUGAUUAUUUUAGCUUAAAGAAACAUGAGAAGGGCCUAGUUUGAAAGGGAAAGAACCCGUUGCAUAGAUAAAGUUUUGUUUGAAGAUCCCUGGUGUGUUUCAUUUCACAUUCUGUUUAAUGAAUAUUCAAACCUACUUAAAAAUAAUACCAUCUAUCUAGGUAAAGUAGUCACUACUCUAAGUGUUGUGGAACCUGCAUAAAGUUAAUUCCUGUAACAAAUUAACCUUAUAAAAAGAAAGUUAUCAACCUAUAUGAGCCAUUCAAUGACUAUUAUGUGUGACAUUGCAUGUGCAUUUUUUGAAUGGUAAACUAUGAAAAUAAAGCUUAAAUAAAUGUGCAUGUUUGAGUGAAAUGAAUACUCCUUCUUUGGUGUACAAGCUCAGUAUCUCAAAAGGUGAAAAGGGGUAAUGGAGGCGACUGAUGUGGUAUAUGUUAAAUAAACUUAAAUGAAAAGUUAAGAGUUAUGUAAGUGAAAGGUCAAGAGUUGAAAGGUCAAGAGUUAUGUUGUUUUUUUAAUGGGUUUAAAUUAGUAGUUUUUGUUUAGGAGAAUGAAAGGUCAAGAGUCAUUGGUUAUUAUUAGAUUUUAAUUUUUUUUAAAGGGUUAUCUAUAAUCUAUAAAUAUUUUGUAAGCAUUUUAUAUGAAUGUGAAAAAUUUUACAUUAAGAACAAUUUUAUCAAAUUAGUAUCUGAGCUAUGGAGAGUGUGACUAGUAAUGUGCCAUUGCCUCGACUAAUAAAGGUGAACUAUGAGAAUUGGAGCAUCCAAAUCAAAGCUCUGCUCGGGUCUCAAGAUGGUUGGGAGGUGGUCCAAGAAGGUUUCAUCGAACCAACAACUACUGCGGGAUAUACGGCGGCUCAAAACAAGGCGUUGAAAGAAAUGCGAUUGAAAGAUAAGGCGACAUUGUACAUGUUAUUCCGAGCUGUUGAUGAGUCGGGCUUUGAAAAGAUUGCAAGUAUGACAACUUCAAAAGAAGCGUAGGACAUUUUAGCAAAGGUGUACAAAGGAGCUGACCGAGUUAAACAAGUCUGCCUUCAAACCCUUUGUGGUGAGUUGGAAGGCAUGAAGAUGAAGGAAUCGGAAGGUGUCUCCGACUACAUCACUCGUGUUCAAACCGUGGUGAACCAACUCAACCGAAACGGAGAAGCGUUAACCGAUGCACGAGUUGUGGAGAAGAUUUUGAGAUCGUUAACUGACAAUUUCGAGAAUGUUGUAUGUGCCAUAGAAGAGUCAAAAGAUCUAGCAACGCUCACAGUCGAUGAACUCGCCGGUUCUCUCGAGGCACAUGAACAACAUAAGAAGAAGAAGAAAGAGGAGGCACUCGAGCAAGCACUUCAAACCAAGGCAUCAAUCAAAGACGAAAAAGUUCUCUAUUCUCAAAGCUUUCGAGGUAGAGGCCGUAGUCGUGGAGAUCGAGGAAAUGGUCGUGGUGGAAAAGGUCAUCGUCAAGAAGGGAAUUAUGAGGAGAAGGAGCAUUCAAACCAAAAAAAUUGGCGUGGAAGAAAACGUGGUCGUGGAAGAGGCAGAUGGUCGAAUUAUUCCAAUGUCGAGUGCUACAAGUGUGGCAAAUAUGGUCACUAUGUGAAGGAUUGUAACUCUGAUAAGUGUUACAAUUGUGGUAAGGCAGGACAUUUCGCGAAAGAAUGUCCCAUCUCAAAAAAGGUGGAAGAGACAACCAACCUAACCACGGAAAAUGAGAAGGCAAAAGAAGGUUUUCUCUUGAUGGCACACAACGAAGUCAACAACAACAACAACAUGGUAUGGUACCUUGACACGGGUGCAAGUAACCAUAUGUACGGGCAUAAGCACUUAUUCAAAGAGAUGCGAAAGGUUGAAAUGGGACAUGUGUCAUUUGGAGAUGCAUCAAAGGUUGAGGUAAAAGGCCAAGGUACCGUUUGUUAUUUACAACAAGAUAGGUUAGUUGGGUCAAUCCAAGAUGUGUAUUACGUACCAGACCUUAAAAGCAACAUUUUGAGUAUGGGGCAACUCAUGGAAAAAGGUUAUUCGGUAUUUAUGAAAGAUCGGGUGUUACACUUGAAAGAUAAGGAAUGGCGUUUGGUCGCUCUAGUUGAAAUGGAGAGAAAUCACAUGUACAAGUUGAAUUUGAAAAGUUUUCAAGGAAAAUGUUUGCGAGUCGACGUUGAAGACAAGGUGUCAUUAUGGCAUCUCCGUUUUGGCCACUUACAUUAUGGUGGUCUAAACGAGUUAGUGAAGAAGAACAUGGUGCAUGGGCUACCAGACAUGGACUAUGAGGGAAAAUUUUGUGAAGAAUGUGUGCUUGGCAAGCAUGCGAGAAUUUCGUUUCAAAAGAAAGCAGAAUAUCGGGCUAAGCAACUUCUCGAAUUGAUUCAUACCAACAUAUGUAGACCAAUCACCCCCGAAUCUUUUAGUGGUAAAAGGUAUUUCAUUUCUUUUAUCGAUGAUUUUUCACGAAAAACUUGGGUUUAUUUUCUUAAAGAAAAAUCUAAGGCAUUCGAGGUGUUCAAGAAGUUCAAAGUGAUGGUGGAAAAAGCAACUGGUAGACACAUCAAAUCUGUACGAUCUGGUAGAGGUGGCGAGUAUACUUCGACGGCUUUCAUGGAGUAUUGUGAGGAGCAAGGCAUAAGACGGUUCCUAAUCGCACCGUACUCUCCCCAACAAAAUGGUGUGGCCGAGAGGAAGAAUCAGACUAUUCUCGACAUGGUUCGAUCAAUGCUCAAGAGCAAGAAAAUGCCGAAGGAAUUUUCGGCGAAAGCCGUGCAAUGUGCCAUCUAUGUGCAAAAUCGAUGUCCACAUGCGAAGUUGGAUGAUCAAACACCACAAGAGGCUUAGAGUGGACAAAAACCAUCAGUUUCUCAACUCAAGGUAUUCGGUAGUGAGGCCUAUGCACAUGUGCCGGAUCAGCGAAGAACGAAGCUCGAAGACAAAAGCAAAAGGUUUAUUUUUAUUAGGUAUGAUGAGAAAACAAAAGAUACAAGCUACUCGACUUGAUAAGUAAGAAGGUUGUGGUAAGUCGUGAUGUACGAUUCAAUGAAGCAAGCGAGUGGGAUUGGAAUAACUCAACGGAGGUUAUCAUCAAAGAUGGAGGAUCAUCAAUUGCUACACCAACUAAAACUAUCGAUGAUGAAGAUGAACCGCAACAACCAAAAAUGUGAAGUUUGCAGAUUUUGAGAAUAUAAGUUUUGAAGAGGCAGUGCUAGACAAGAAGUGGCAAACUGCUAUGGACGAGGAGAUUAAAGCAAUUGACCGUAACAACACAUGGGAGUUAACAGAAUUACCGAAAAGAAGUCAGCCCAUUGGUGUGAAGUGGGUGUUCAAAAGAAAGAUGAAUGCUCAAGGUGAGUUAGAACGGUACAAGGCACGACUUGUUGCAAAGGGAUAUAAGCAAAAGGAGAGGAUCGAUUAUGACGAGGAAUUUGCUCCCGUUGUAAGAAUGGAGACAAUCCGAUUGCUCUUUGCACAAGCAGCUCAAUUUAAAUGGCAGAUAUUUCAAAUGGAUGUCAAGUCAGCAUUCUUGAAUGGUGUGCUCGAAGAAGAAGUCUACAUCGAACAACCACCCGGGUACAUAAAAAAUAGAGAGGAGAAGAAGGUGCUGAAAUUGAAUAAGGCACUUUACGGGUUGAAGCAAGCACCGUGGGCAUGGAAUAAUCGUAUCGAUACAUACUUCAAGGAGAACGGGUUCAAACAAUGUCCUUAUGAACAUGCCCUCUACGUGAAGAAGAAUGGAGGUAAUAUGUUAUUUGUUGCUCUUUAUGUCGAUGACCUCAUUUUUAUGAGGAACAAUGGUGAGAUGAUACUAGAUUUUAAGAGCAAGAUGACACAAGAAUUCGAGAUGACAGAUUUGGGUUUAAUGAAGUAUUUCCUUGGUUUGGAGGUUAGACAAGAAGAGAAAGGUAUUUUUGUGUCACAUGAGGCAUAUGCAAAGGAAAUUUUGAAGAAAUACAAGAUGGCACACUGCAACCCGGUAUCAACACCAAUGGAUCCAGGUGUAAAACUCUCGAAAUUCGAUGGAGGAGAACAAGUCGACCCGAGCAAAUACCAGAGUUUGGUGGGAAGCCUUCGCUAUCUCACUUGCACAAGGCCUAACAUUUCGCUAAGUGUUGGCAUUGUAAGUCGAUUCACGGAGGAACCGGUUUAUUCACAUUGGAAGGCGUUGAAGCGAAUCCUAUGGUACAUUCAAGGAACGGUGUCACUCGGGUUAUUUUAUUCAAAUAUGGAAGAUUACAAGUUGAUUGAGUAUUCCGACAGUGAUUGGUGUGGAGAUUUAGACGAUCGAAAAAGUACACCGGGAUAUGUGUUCUUUUUGGGUAACACGAUGUUUACUUGGCUUUCAAAGAAGCAACCAAUCGUGACACUCUGGACAUGUGAAGCUGAAUAUGUGGCAGCAUCUUGGUGUGUGUGUCAUGCUAUAUGGCUCAGAAAUUUGUUGGACGAGUUGGAGCAACAACAACUUGGUGCAACUGAGACAGGAGUUGACAAUAAAUCAGUGAUUGAUUUGGCAAAGAACGUAGUGAAUCAUGAGAGAAGCAAACACAUUGACAUUCAUUUUCAUUUCAUCCGAGAUCAUGUAAAGAAAGGAAGUGUGAAAUUAGUGCACGUGGCAAGUCAAGACCAAGUCGCGGAUAUCUUCACAAAACCGCUACCGAUGGUACUCUUCGACAACUACAAGAAAUUAAUCGGCAUUGAGGAUGGCAGAAGCAUUUAAGUUUACAGGGGAGUUUUGUUAAAUAAACUUAAAUGAAAAGUUAAGAGUUAUGUAAGUGAAAGGUCAAGAGUUGAAAGGUCAAGAGUUAUGUUGUUUUUUUAAUGGGUUUAAAUUAGUAGUUUUUGUUUAGGAGAAUGAAAGGUCAAGAGUCAUUGGUUAUUAUUAGAUUUUAAUUUUUUGUUUUAAAGGGUUAUCUAUAUUCUAUAAAUAGUUUAUAAGCAUUUUAUAUGAAUGUGAACAAUUUUACAUUGAGAACAAUUUUAUCAGUAUAAUGAUGGGAGAAUAAAAUGGAGAAACUGAUUAUUUCACCUCUGGUAUUGCAUAUGAAUGCAAAUCAAGACUGGUGAAAGGCCCUAGCCUUGCGAGGGAAUACGUGAGUGUUCGAGUUAACGAGGAUUUGUGGGGGUUCGAUUGGUUAAUCAAAUUACUAGCUACACAGAACAAUAUCGUGAAAAUGGAAUGUUAGCUUUUUAGAGUGUUUAAAGGAUCAAAAGCUAGCAUAAGGAAGGGCGUAUCAAUGUGUAUGAAUGUUUAUAAGUGUUCUUGCAUGAACUGUAUGCAGUUACGUUGGAUUCUAUUGUAAAUGGGUAGUUAAAUAUUGCAUGCAAAUAGAAGUUAAUAAUGACACGUACUCACCAAAGACUAGUUCUUAGACGCGGAUAAUACCCGCUAUCUAACAGUACUUCUCUAGCGCUAUUUAUCUUCCAACAUAUAUUACGUAAGUGUUAGGUUAUGUACGCCUGUAAGUUGUAUAAUAUAAACUAUCUAAGUUGUUUUAACAUAUUGUGUUCACUUGAUCGAAUGGUCGUUCCUUAUCUCGAAACUCACUAAGUUCUUUUAAACUCACUCGCUUCUUUUUUUCCCCAUUUUCAAGUGUUUUAAGUAUGGGUGGACUAUUCUUGAAAGGACUUAGCCAGAAAGAGACUUCUUUUGUUAGCUGCCUAUUUUAUUGUUUUGUAACAUGUAAUUAUCAGGGUAGUGUAGCAUAUAGUUCCAAAAAUACCUUAACCUAAAAAAAACAUUGUAUUUUUUCAGUUUGGUUUGUACUUAUGACCGUUGCAACGUUUGAAAUGAAUAUUGUAGCAUUUCGCCAAAAAUUUCAACUGUGGCAUACCACCAAUAUUAUCAAAAUCACAAAAUCCAUAUUUCGCCAAACGACAAUUCAAUGAGUUUUUACUAUAGAGUGGUGUACCGUGAAACACUUCUAUUUUUCAAAGAUAUUGUGUACCAUUAUAAAUGUCUGUAGGUAACGCUGUGAUUCUUUGGUCAACCAGUGAAACUUGGGAUGUUAUAGUUUUAACACAUUCAACAAAAUCCACAUUACAAUUUCAAAAUUGAAUCAAUCAUUCCUUGUCUAACCAUAUCGGCCCUUAGGCUCGUUAGCUGGUUCACAUAGUCUUUCAAAUGCUAUCGGUAAUCAACUAUCAUUUAUAAAACAUGUAAUACUACGUAAUAACUUUUAAUUAUCUUUAAGUAUCAAUCAACCAAGUCACAAUUUAUAUUCCCUGUUAAUAUGACUCAGACUCGAACAGGUACAUGAAUCCAAAUCAGCACACCAAUUUAUCAUUCAGUGUUUAAUCGGAACAUUCGAAGUGAAUAAAUUGUGUCUAGUGCUCAUCAAUAUAAUUGAAAUAAAAGUUGUGCCCUACACUCAUCUGAACAUCCGAAAGAAAAUACGUCCAGCGCUCAUCAACAUAUAGUCAAAGUAACCCAUACUCAAUCUAUCUUAUGAGAUGCCAAUUAUAUCCGACUCUACCUAAACAAUUAAUAAGGUAACCAAUUUUUUAAUUUCAUUAUAAAUCUUCUCAUUAUUUCAUUCUUAAUAUAUCAUCAACUUAUCAUUUCAUCAAUUCAAAUAUCAUGUUUCUGCUUAAUUUCAUACAUAAUAUCAUAAAUCAUAAGUUAGACUACUUUUCAUUUUAUUCAAUUUAGUCAUUUAUCUCUAUAAUUUAUCAAAAUCAUACCAAUUCAAUUCCAGUACCUAUUUUAAACUCACCUCAGUAUUGUACCAAGCAAAACAUCAUGAAUGUGCAAUAAAUAGAUUGAUUCAAAUUAUAGAAAUACAAAUCAAAAAUUCGAGUCGCUCGACGUCAGGUUUUGCCUUUUCUUUCCCUCUCGACAGCCUCAAAUCGUCUUUAGCUAUGAGUAAUAAUCCAACAAUAAAGAAUUUCAAAUUCCAUAUCAAAUCACAUUCAAUUACAAAGUCACACACAUUUUGUAUUUUAUUCAAUUUAGUCUCAAAAAUUGAGACAAGCAUAACUUCUGAUUUAGACCUCCAAAUUGAAAUUCGAUUUCACAUUUAAUCAUUAGGGACCUCCUACUUCCUAUUCCUACUGAAAUUUUGUGAUAAUUUUUCAUUUGAUUCAAUUUGGUCUAUAAUGUACGAAACCAUCAAUUAAGCUUUAUAAUUUACUCAUUUUUCUUAAACUAAGUUUAAUUUCUAUCAAUUUAACACCUAAAUCAUUCAAUUCUCAACAAUAGAAGCUUUCUAAAACUUUAACAAUUUCUUACAUUGUUACAUGAGCUAGCUAAAUUAAGCUCUCAUGACCUCAAAUCUAUAAAAAAAGUACAAGAAAAAGGGCCUAAAUAAGCUUACCAAAUUAUGGCCAAAUGUUUCAAGCUUGGAAGGUUUCUUUAAUUAAAAAAUGGUGGAAAUUUUAGGUGAAGAAGAAAGAUGAUAUAUUUUCUCUUUAUUUCCACCAAAUUCUCACUUUUAUACAUGAUUUAAUGUUUGAUUAACUUUAGUUAAUUAUGCUUUAAUUAUAAUUAAUCUUAAGUUUACUUAUUUAAUCAAAUACCAUCUUGCCAUCCACUAUAGAAUACUUAAAAAUGAUUUAUUAACCAUUUUGGCCCUUUGGAUAAUUACAAUUUAAGUCCUCAAGUCUUUUCCUAUUUAAUAUUUAUGGAUUUGGUUUACGAAAAUGGGUCUUGAAACCACAUUUUUCGAUACCACUAGAAAUCAGAUCGUUAUAGUUUGUAAGUCAAUAAUAAUCCUUAGCACAUACUACUACAUUACGGAUAACCACCCAUGCAAUUCACUGUAAGACGCAUCACAAUCUCCGUACAAUUACUCAAUAUCUUUUGUUUGGCCUACCAUGGUUUCCUGUAUGACAUUCUGUACUGAAAUCAAGAUUGCAUGUUGACAAUCAGGACCGAUAUAGGAAUGAUGGGCAUGUCUUUCACCAGUGGCAUGAUGUAGUUACAGAUUUUUUUCACAUCAAGUUUCCGAUGGUCUUAUGUAAUACAUCCAGAAGUUCAUGUAUGAGGCCUAAAUUUUGAAUUUCCCACAGUUGUGACCUCUAGAUCAAUACAACUCGUCCCUGCCACCAACAACCUUCUACAAACCUCUAACACUCCCAAUAUAUAAUGUUAGUUUAGAUAUAACAACUUUGUAGCCCAUCGACGUUUUCAUGCUAUACCACUUGAUGGCAAAUAUGCAUUUCUCUUUAUUUGCAAAUUGUUGACCCAUUAUCAACUCUUUUGAUUUGAUAUCUAUUGCCAACCAUUUCGUAGGCAUCAAAUUUAGGUAAUCAGAGAACUCAGAUGCAUGUGGAACAUCAAGAUUUACGCUCAACAUGUGGACCCCAAGGUUAUUGCGUAUGAAAAUGGCUCGAGUAGGGUUCUCAAGUGAAGGGGCAUAUACAUUAUCAUCAUCAUCUACGCCUUCAUCAUCGAUAUUAUCCGAGAGCUCAUUGGUAUUAGGGCCACUAAAAUAUUCACCCUUGUGGUCGUAGCGACCAUCAUUAUCGGGUCCAUCUUCACCAUCUGCAUCGGUACCAAUCACCAACUGAUGCAUCUAUAAACAAGAACCUGGAUUAGGGUUGUUAUACACAGUCGGAACAUUGUGUGAAUUCUUGGCUCAUGUCGAUGUUGCUUCAUAAUCGCACAAUUCUACCUACCCAAUGUUUAGAUCAAACUCAAAUUUGUGUACAAAUGACCGCCUAUUGGUAGAUGCUAUCAGAACCUUGGGUCUUGAACUCUAUAUUGUUCAUUUAAUGGAGUGAUAUUUUAAGUGGGCUCAACAUCUGCUAACUCAGUGAACAACUCAACUGGUUAAAUGUUCCCAAGUGAGCGACAAAGUGUGAUAAUAGUCUCUACGCCAUCAUCAUCUAUAAGUUCCAUCUCCUUAUAUUUGCAUAAAUUUUACGAAACUGGAAAUUUGUAGAAUAGCCUAGACAUUCUCCUCCCACAACGUCGAGUAAUUUUUGCACAAAUCUUCUGUUUCACAUCAUCGACUUUUAUAUUCUUGUUGAACCCUAUUUCUAUUUGAUGACGAGAUUCAAAUAUACAACCAUUUGCUAUUUGUAAAACUACCCCCUCGAAAUGUGUAUACAAAGAAUUGGUUAUCCAUCUUUAAUACUAUAUUUAUAGAAUAAAUUAAAAAUAAAAACUAUUAGCUCCUAUUAAAACAAUUCAUACAAUUUUAUAGCAACAACAAUACUUUUUAUCAAACAAUAUAAAUGUGUAAUUAUUGGAAAAUUUUUUAUUAAAAAUUCAAUUUAUUAUUAUGUUAAUUUAAACGUAACAUUUUUAUAUUUAAUUAACAAUAGUUAAUGAAAAUAAAUAAGCAAAGGCAAAGUUGACAAGUUAUAUUUCAUUGGAAGUACAAUUCUAUUUUAUUUAUACUUCUUAUAUCUAUAAAUAUAAAUUUUAGAGAAACAUUAUAAAUUGUUCUCAUUAAUCAAUAAAAUACGCUCACAUUUUUGUUCUCCCAUGUUCUUUUUGUUCUUUACUCUUCUUCUUUUUAUUCUAUAAAAAAUUAAAUUUUAAUCUUUUUUUUUUUUGUAUUGAUUGAUACACUAUAAUUCCAAAAAUAGCAAAAUUAACUAGUGAACACUGGCGCCAAUCGAAAUUUACAUUAAAAUAGAACUUGAAAUGGAGUGUUCUAAUCGGUAGAAGUGAUAUAAAAACGAAAUUGAAUUUCUUUUUUGUAAAAAAAUUGAAAACAACACAACUUUUUUCAAUUAUUUUAUGUUGAUAAAAUGAAAGAAUGGAUAAUAAAUCUUAAUUUAUUACUUCUUAUAAAUUAUGAAAUUUUUUUAUUUUUUUAUUUUAAAAAAAUUAAAUUCUUUUAUGAUAUCUUCUCAAGCAUAGAAAAGGUACAUAAAUGCGUAAUUAUUGGAAAUUAUUUUUAUUAAAAAUUAAAUUUAUUAUUAUGUUAAUUUAAAACGUGACAUUUUUUGUUAUUUAAUUAACAAUAGUUAAUGAAAGUCAAAAAGAAAAAGCGAAGUUGACAAGUUAAAUAAUUAUUUUAUAAUUUCUUUUCAAAAAAGUGUUGAAUUACUUUAUAAUUUUUUAUAAUUUUUUUAAAAAAGUUGACAAUACCCAAAGUAACCGAUGGGUUAGGUGAUUCACGUGGUUUUGCAAAAACAACUUUCGGUUAUUUCUUAAAGUUUUGCAAUUUUGUUGACCAUGUCAUAAGAAAAAACAAUAAAAAUGUACAAAUUGGCACUAAGAAAAAUUUCCAUUAUAUCUUUUAAAUUUAAAAUUUUAAAAUAUUUAAUGAGUCCAUGAAAUUUAAAAAAAAAUCUAAUUAAAUUUUCUAAAAGUUCUAAAAAUUUCAAGUAAAUUUCUAAAAUUUUUAAAAACUCUAAUCUUCUUAAAAAUUGUAACUAAAUUUCCCAAUUUUUUUGAAACUUUUUCUUAAACCCUACUUUUUUUUACAAUUUGAUUAAACCAUCAUCAUCAUCAUUAUUAUUAUUAUUAACUUUUGGAAAUUAAACUACACGUAGAGCUUUUACCUAAAGCAUUUUCAAGUGUAGUAUAAACACUAUGUACUAAAACACGAGAGGUGAGACUUAUGUUGCAAAAUGUUACUAACUAUUGUAGAUCAUACACAUAGAGACUUAAAACUUACAGGGAAUCAAUAUGGACCCAUUUGAUAGAGAACCAAUUGUUAUAUUGGUCUAAACAAAUGGAUUAAAUCGAUUGAAUUAAAAAUUUUCAGAACCGAUAAAAAUCGAAAAUUGAGAUGAAAACUAAUAGUUGAACCAAUUUAAUCCUUUUUAUUUUAUUUUAUGAAUUUUAAUUGUUUAUUUAAUUAGUUGGUAUAACAGUUGAACCGAUCAAACCGAUUGAACUGAGACUAGUGGUCUAAAUGGUUCAACAACAGUCCGAUUAUUAGAACAUUGUAUGUGGCACUCAAAGAUUGUACCACGUUAUCACUUAAAUAUUUAUAUAAUUUUUUUAAUUUUCAAGUAAUGAUAUCUCAAAGUUACGUCAUCAAACUUUUAUAUUUUUCAAAUUUAGGAACCAAAAUGAAACUCGUUGUCAAGUUCAGGAGUCAAAAUGGAUAAAAAGAGUAUAAGUACCAAAGUAAACCUAGUUAUCAAGUUUAUGGGCAAAAUUUCUAUUAUCCUUUUUUUUUCAAAAGCAAUAAACAUAAUGGUUUCACUAGGAAAAAAAUAGUAGCAUUUAUGAUUAAAAAAAUGUAAUGAAAAAUGGCAUCAACCCCAUUUUACAAUAUGUUGUUCCUUGACCUCUAUAUCUCUAAAAAUUUUAACUCUCAUUAAUUUUCUAAAAUAUUUUAACUAAAUUCCCCAAAAAAUUUGAAUUUUUUUAUUAAGCCCCUAAACUUUUUAAAAUUUAAUUAAAUCCUUAUAUUUCUUUUGGAAAUUAAACAACAUAUAGAACUUUUACCUAAAUCAUUUUCAAGUGUAGUAUAAACACUAUGUACUACCAGAAGCAGGCUUGAGUAGUUAUAAAACAGGGGAGGGGAGACUUAAGUCGCAAUAUAUAAAAAUAUAUUAAUGAUUUACAAUAUUUGUUUCUAAACUUAUUUAUUAAUGAUUUACAAUACCCGGUGCGAAGCACGAGCUAUUAAAUUAGAAGGUUUUAAUUAUUUUAUAUGGUUUAAUCAAAUGUCCUUUGAUUAGUUUUUUUGGCUGACAAAUGUCUCUUGAUAUUAAUGUCAUCUGAUGGGAAAACCUUAUCCUAAAAUUUAUGAUAUUAAGAUGAUGAGAAGAAUGACGCUAACUUUUGGAUGUCAUGACGCUAACUUUUGAAAUCGUGACAUUCAACCUCAAGAUCGCGACGUCCAUGGAAUAAUUUUGUAAUUUGGUCUUCGAGGAGUGAAGCUGGUUUGCUGUCUUGGGGUCGCGGCAUUAAAUUCUAAAUGUCAUUAUAUUUAAUUUGAAGGUUUUUGAAAAUAUUACAAUUUAAUUUAUUAACGCUAUCGGGUUAAUAAUAAAGUUUUCAUAAACUUGUAAAAAUAAGAUAUAUAUGGAUCGCGUAAAAUCACAAUUUCAUAUAAUCUUUUUUGAAAAAAUAAAUUACAAACAACCUGCAACUAGACCUGUCUAUGGGCCAGGCCGGGCCGGGUUCGGGCCGGGCCCACAAAAAUUUUCAGCCCGUUUACUAGGCCCGGGCCCGGCCCAAAAUAUGGGCCUGAGAUUUUGCCUAUGCCCGGCCCGAAAAAAUAUGGGGCCCGAGCCCGGCCCGGCCCGUUUUUAAUUAAAAUUAAAAUUAUUUUUUAAUAAAAUUAAAACUAAUUGUUAUUAAAAUUAAUUGUUAGUAAAAUUAUCAAAUUAUUAAUUAUUAAUUGUUAAUUGUAUUAAUUGUUGUAAUAAAAUCUAAAAUUUGAUUAGUAAAUUUAUCAAAUUAUUAAUUGUAUUAAUUGUUGUAAUAAAAUCUAACAUUUGAUUAGUAAAUUUAUCAAAUUAUUAAUUGUAUUAAUUGUUGUAACAAAAUCUAACAUUUGAUUAGUAAAACAAACUUGAUGUUUUAUUAUUAUUAUUUUGUAACACUAGUCAAGGAAAUGAAAGUAAAUAAACUUAAAAUAAAAAACUAUUAUAUUUUAAAAAUAAAAAAUAUAUAUUUAAUAUUUUCGGCCCGGGCCGGCCAAAAAAAUCUUGCCCGAGGCCAGUCCCAUUUCUUAAACGGGCCUAAAAUUUUGCCCAAGCCCAUAUUUCGGGCCUAUAUUUUUACCCAAACCCUCCCAUAUUUCGGGCGGGUCGUCGGGCCGGGCCGGGCCACCCGGCCCAUGGACAGGUCUACCUGCAACUAAUUAUACAAUCAACAAAUCAUUUUCUUUUAAGGGUAAGCUACAUCAACCGUCCUUAAAUUUUAAUUAAAAUUAUGUUUCAACCACUUAACUUUUAAAUUUUACAAAAUCAUCACUACGGUUAUGGGGUUACUACAAAAUGUUCACCUAAUUGCUAAGUACCCUUAACGAAGUAAGGUUUAUCUGACGUGGCAUGACAAAUAUGCUAAGUAUUUAAGAACUGUCUUCCUUUUUAUUUUUUCUGAAUAUUAAUUACUUACUUUAAAUGACAUAUGAAAUUUUCUUUAUUUUUCUUUUCUCCCUUCUUUCUUUUCCUUCUUUAUUCACUAAAUCACUACCAUCCACAACCUGUGCCUCCCUUAAGUUGUCCACAUCAUCUUUAACCUCAACCUUCUUUACAAGAUAUAUAGAUAGAUGCAUGCAGACGAAGAGGCCAGGAGUUGGGUUGAGUGACGGAGCAACGAUAAGUUACGCAGAUGGUGUGGUUUGUGCAAGCAGGUACUGAAGAUUACAUACAUAGAAAAUUUAGGUGAUAGGACAUAUAAUGUUAACUUUAGCAUGAUAAUUAAACUUAAUAUACACUAAAAUAUUUGACCCUAGCCAAAUGCCAAACUAAAAGCAAAACCAUGAAAACUUCAAUCACGACUUUCAUUACAUACAAAUGCGUAGGCAUUCAUUUUUUAUUGAAAGCACACCAGCACAAUAAUACUAAAAAUUAAUCUUUCACAAACGCCAACACGGUUUGCAUGAAGGUGAAGACGACCACCAUAAAAGCUGCAACAGUCCCUGUUCCUCUCCAAAGAUUGGGGAAAUAAACACGCUUCAGAAUUCCAUAAUUCUCCUUGAUGAAUAAUGUCACUUUGCGCUUCCGAGCCUCUUUAUAAAGCUGGUUCAAUCGGUUCGCGGUUACCCGGUAGCAUGCAGGAGAUGGCUGCCCAAUACCCACCAUAAGUUUCUUAAUCAUACGUUGCACAACUAUAUUCGUGUUUAUUAUGGUAACCAGUCUUCCUUCGUGUUUGCCUUCCUUGCUUAAAAUCUCUUUUUCUAUUAACCGUUCUACAUCUUGGGCAUUUUGAAUGAGAUAAUUCAUUAGUUCUAUGUAAGCACAAACGUAGGCUUCAUCUGGACAAUGGCACAUCUCGAACGCCAUGACGUUCCGAAGGUAAGCUUCAGUGUUGGAGUGCACUGUCAAUUUGGGGAUUUUAAGCUUUUUGCCUUCAAAUUUAAUAUCAAGCAAACAUGCAGUUUGAUUAGGUUCAACUAUAAGCUGAACACCAACUUCUUGCAAACUUGCGGCACCAUACACUUUUUUUAACGUUGGGAUCUUGGUCUUGGAUGAUGGAUU
RNAcentral lists this long non-coding RNA (43913 nucleotides) under Gossypium raimondii (Peruvian cotton). RNAcentral's name for it is "long non-coding RNA (GRAI_LNC010918)". The record is from RNAcentral. Lineage: Eukaryota; Viridiplantae; Streptophyta; Magnoliopsida; Malvales; Malvaceae.